Molecule: ribosomal RNA, 541 nt
Filed under: Salmonella enterica subsp. enterica serovar Stanley
Lineage: Bacteria; Pseudomonadati; Pseudomonadota; Gammaproteobacteria; Enterobacterales; Enterobacteriaceae
Description: partial 23S ribosomal RNA
Rfam family: Bacterial large subunit ribosomal RNA
Source: RNAcentral
UUCUAACGUGGACCCGUGAUCCGGGUUGCGGACAGUGUCUGGUGGGUAGUUUGACUGGGGCGGUCUCCUCCUAAAGAGUAACGGAGGAGCACGAAGGUUGGCUAAUCCUGGUCGGACAUCAGGAGGUUAGUGCAAUGGCAUAAGCCAGCUUGACUGCGAGCGUGACGGCGCGAGCAGGUGCGAAAGCAGGUCAUAGUGAUCCGGUGGUUCUGAAUGGAAGGGCCAUCGCUCAACGGAUAAAAGGUACUCCGGGGAUAACAGGCUGAUACCGCCCAAGAGUUCAUAUCGACGGCGGUGUUUGGCACCUCGAUGUCGGCUCAUCACAUCCUGGGGCUGAAGUAGGUCCCAAGGGUAUGGCUGUUCGCCAUUUAAAGUGGUACGCGAGCUGGGUUUAGAACGUCGUGAGACAGUUCGGUCCCUAUCUGCCGUGGGCGCUGGAGAACUGAGGGGGGCUGCUCCUAGUACGAGAGGACCGGAGUGGACGCAUCACUGGUGUUCGGGUUGUCAUGCCAAUGGCACUGCCCGGUAGCUACAUGCGGAA